UACAGAGGUGGCAAGCGUUGUUCGGAAUUACUGGGCGUAAAGGGCGCGUAGGCGGCUUGGUCAGUCCCGUGUGAAAUCCCUCGGCUCAACUGAGGAACUGCACGGGAAACUGCCUGGCUUGAGUUCGGGAGAGGGAAGCGGAAUUCCGGGUGUAGCGGUGAAAUUCGUAGAUAUCGGGAGGAACACCGGUGGCGAAGGCGGCGACCUGGGUUGACAUUGACGCUGAGGCGCGAAAGCGUGGGGAGCAAACAGG
This 253-nucleotide ribosomal RNA is filed under the name uncultured bacterium. RNAcentral's name for it is "partial 16S ribosomal RNA". It matches the Rfam family "Bacterial small subunit ribosomal RNA", at positions 524 to 776 of the family's 1533-position model. The record is from RNAcentral.